GCCGUAGUAGCUCAUUUGGUUAGAGCAUCGCACUCGUACUGCGAAGACGUGGGAUUGUUCCCCACCUGCGGCA
This is a non-coding RNA of Dermacentor albipictus, 73 nucleotides long. Lineage: Eukaryota; Metazoa; Arthropoda; Arachnida; Ixodida; Ixodidae. The record is from the annotation of a RefSeq genome assembly.